Long non-coding RNA from Diceros bicornis minor, 149 nucleotides. RefSeq lists it as uncharacterized. The record is from RefSeq and is a predicted model, not a curated record. NCBI's taxonomy places the organism in Eukaryota, Metazoa, Chordata, Mammalia, Perissodactyla, Rhinocerotidae. The transcript has 3 exons.
GGUUGUUAUUCUUUGCCACGAAGUACACUUCAGUUUCCUCAAAGGAGACAGGGAGGCUGCUGAGGCCUGGAGGCUUGGAUGCUGGAUGGAAGGGCUGCAUUUGCAGAGGUCACCCCCACUGGAUUUCACCUGCCGCCUGUGGCCAUGGA